RNAcentral lists this ribosomal RNA (292 nucleotides) under uncultured bacterium. Its description in RNAcentral is "partial 16S ribosomal RNA". It matches the Rfam family "Bacterial small subunit ribosomal RNA", at positions 505 to 796 of the family's 1533-position model. The record is from RNAcentral.
GUGUCAGCCGCCGCGGUAAGACGAACCGAGCGAACGUUGUUCGGAAUCACUGGGCUUAAAGGGCGCGUAGGCGGGCGAUCAAGUCAGGGGUGAAAGCCUCCAGCUCAACUGGAGAAGUGCCUCUGAUACUGGCCGUCUCGAGGGAGGUAGGGGCGUGCGGAACUUCCGGUGGAGCGGUGAAAUGCGUAGAUAUCGGAAGGAACACCGGUGGCGAAAGCGGCGCGCUGGACCUCUUCUGACGCUGAGGCGCGAAAGCCAGGGGAGCGAACGGGAUUAGAAACCCCAGUAGUCC